Molecule: non-coding RNA, 72 nt
Organism: Aphanomyces cochlioides
Lineage: Eukaryota; Oomycota; Saprolegniomycetes; Saprolegniales; Verrucalvaceae
Source: the annotation of a GenBank genome assembly
GGGGGUGUAGCGCAGUGGUAGCGCGUCCGCUUUGCAUGCGGAAGGCCCCGGGUUCAAUCCCCGGCGUCUCCA